UCAGACGAUGCGUCAUGCAUAUCAAUAAGCGGAGGAAAAGAAACUAACAAGGAUUCCCUUAGUAACGGCGAGUGAAGCGGGAAGAGCUCAAAUUUGAAAUCUUCAAGGUUUUUACCUUGACGAAUUGUAGUUUAAAGAAGUGUUUUCUGCUGAAGUUUUGGUAAAAGUUCUUUGGAAUAGGACAUCAUAGAGGGUGAGAAUCCCGUAUUUGACCAUUAUUUUCAGCUUUGUGAUACACUUUCAAAGAGUCGGAUUGUUUGGGAAUGCAGUCCAAAAUGGGUGGUAAAUUUUAUCUAAAGCUAAAUAUUGGCGAGAGACCGAUAGCGAACAAGUACCGUGAGGGAAAGAUGAAAAGAACUUUGAAAAGAGAGUUAAACAGUACGUGAAAUUGUCAAAAGGGAAGCGUUUGACACCAGUGUUGUUUUCUCGAAAAUCAAUUAAAAAUGGCUCGAUUUUGUAUUGCUGAGACCUUAAAAGCUCACUGUACAUUUUUCGUGUCUUUUUUAAUGCACUUUUCGUUUAACAAGUCAACAUCAGUUUCUUUUGUUGUAAAAGGGUCAUUGGAAGGUGGCUUUCUUUUCGGAGAAAGUGUUUAUAGCCUUUGGCCUCUGCAAUCGGAGAGACUGAGGUCUGCAGCGUAGACUCUUCGGGGUUAGAUACAUUUGUGCUAAGUUAUAGCUUUUUAUAGACAACUUGUUGACUAUAAUUAGUCUUGUAGCUUACUCGCUUAUGCUAUUUUACCUACGCUUAGGAUGUUGAACUACUGAGACAUAG
RNAcentral lists this ribosomal RNA (774 nucleotides) under uncultured Neocallimastigales. RNAcentral describes it as "partial large subunit ribosomal RNA". It matches the Rfam family "Eukaryotic large subunit ribosomal RNA", at positions 18 to 634 of the family's 3401-position model. The record is from RNAcentral. Lineage: Eukaryota; Fungi; Neocallimastigomycota; Neocallimastigomycetes; Neocallimastigales.